AAGCAGUCCCGAUCUAUGCGAC
This 22-nucleotide microRNA is filed under the name Human betaherpesvirus 6B. RNAcentral's name for it is "hhv6b-miR-Ro6-1-5p". Its record names the gene hhv6b-miR-Ro6-1-5p. The record is from miRBase by way of RNAcentral. Lineage: Duplodnaviria; Heunggongvirae; Peploviricota; Herviviricetes; Herpesvirales; Orthoherpesviridae.